This 224-nucleotide unclassified non-coding RNA is filed under the name Acanthaster planci (crown-of-thorns starfish). RNAcentral's name for it is "probable G-protein coupled receptor 52, transcript variant X5". Lineage: Eukaryota; Metazoa; Echinodermata; Asteroidea; Valvatida; Acanthasteridae. The record is from RNAcentral.
AAUUUGCUUCCAAUUGCCAUGACCAAUCACAGCUCAGCUUUCAUUUGGAUGGGGUAGUACAUGUAGGCCUACACAAUCCUUACAACGUUAGAGAACCCCUUCCAAUUGGCAGUUGCCAGAAAAGAUACCAGUAUACAGUAUUGUGCACGUCCCCAAAAGCUCUUCUUCUGCAUGACUCUGCUGCCAAUUAGAAGAUGAAAGCUUGAUUGUUGUAACCCUCUGUU